Molecule: ribosomal RNA, 377 nt
Filed under: uncultured bacterium
Lineage: Bacteria
Description: bacterial SSU rRNA
Rfam family: Bacterial small subunit ribosomal RNA
Source: RNAcentral
AUACGUAGGUGGCAAGCGUUAUCCGGAUUUACUGGGCGUAAAGGGCGUGUAGGCGGACAAGGAAGUCGGACGUAAAAGCUCCCGGCCCAACUGGGAGAGGCCGUUCGAAACUCCUUGACUCGAGGCUAGUAGAGGCAAGUGGAAUUCCCGGUGUAGUGGUGAAAUGCGUAGAUAUCGGGAGGAAGACCAGAGGCGAAGGCGGCUUGCUGGGCUAGACCUGACGCUGAGACGCGAAAGCCAGGGGAGAGAACGGGAUUAGAAACCCCGGUAUUCCUGGCAGUAAACGAUGUCAACUAGGUGCGUGGGGUACCCAAUCCCUGCGUGCUGCCGCCAACGCAGUAAGUUGACCGCCUGGGGAGUACGGCCGCAAGGCUAAA